Molecule: ribosomal RNA, 855 nt
Filed under: uncultured organism
Description: bacterial SSU rRNA
Rfam family: Bacterial small subunit ribosomal RNA
Source: RNAcentral
UAGAGUUUGAUCCUGGCUCAGGAUGAACGCUGGCGGCGUGCCUAAUACAUGCAAGUCGAGCGAUGAGGCUCCUUCGGGAGUACAUCAGCGGCGAACGGGUGAGUAACACGUGGGUGACUUGCCCCGAAGAUGGGGAUAACCUCUGGAAACGGGGGCUAAUACCCAAUGUGCUCGGUGAUUCGGUUCAUCGAGUAAAGCUCCGGCGCUUCGGGAGAGGCCUGCGGCCCAUCAGCUAGUUGGUAGGGUAACGGCCUACCAAGGCAGAGACGGGUAGGGGGCGUGAGAGCGCGGACCCCCACACUGGCACUGAGAUACGGGCCAGACUCCUACGGGAGGCAGCAGUAAGGGAUAUUGCGCAAUGGACGAAAGUCAGACGCAGCGACGCCGCGUGGGCGAUGAAGGCCUUCGGGUUGUAAAGCCCUUUUAUGGGGGAAGAGAAAAAGGACGGUACCCCAGGAAUAAGUCCCGGCUAACUACGUGCCAGCAGCCGCGGUAAAACGUAGGGGACAAGCGUUAUCCGGAUUCACUGGGCGUAAAGAGCGUUGAGGCGGUUCCGUAAGUUGGGCGUGAAAGCUCCGGGCUUAACUCGGAGAUGUCGUUCAAUACUGCGGGGCUUGAGGACAGCAGAGGAAGGUGGAAUUCCCGGUGUAGUGGUGAAAUGCGUAGAUAUCGGGAGGAACACCCGUGGCGAAAGCGGCCUUCUGGGCUGUUCCUGACGCUGAACGCGAAAGCUAGGGGAGCGAACGGGAUUAGAUACCCCGGUAGUCCUAGCUGUAAACGAUGGAUGCUGGUGUGGGGGGUGCAAAUUCCCUCUGUGCCGAAGCAAACGCGUUAAGCAUCCCGCCUGGGGACUAC